RNAcentral lists this ribosomal RNA (1489 nucleotides) under Lactiplantibacillus plantarum. Its description in RNAcentral is "bacterial SSU rRNA". It matches the Rfam family "Bacterial small subunit ribosomal RNA". Lineage: Bacteria; Bacillati; Bacillota; Bacilli; Lactobacillales; Lactobacillaceae. The record is from RNAcentral.
GACGAACGCUGGCGGCGUGCCUAAUACAUGCAAGUCGAACGAACUCUGGUAUUGAUUGGUGCUUGCAUCAUGAUUUACAUUUGAGUGAGUGGCGAACUGGUGAGUAACACGUGGGAAACCUGCCCAGAAGCGGGGGAUAACACCUGGAAACAGAUGCUAAUACCGCAUAACAACUUGGACCGCAUGGUCCGAGUUUGAAAGAUGGCUUCGGCUAUCACUUUUGGAUGGUCCCGCGGCGUAUUAGCUAGAUGGUGAGGUAACGGCUCACCAUGGCAAUGAUACGUAGCCGACCUGAGAGGGUAAUCGGCCACAUUGGGACUGAGACACGGCCCAAACUCCUACGGGAGGCAGCAGUAGGGAAUCUUCCACAAUGGACGAAAGUCUGAUGGAGCAACGCCGCGUGAGUGAAGAAGGGUUUCGGCUCGUAAAACUCUGUUGUUAAAGAAGAACAUAUCUGAGAGUAACUGUUCAGGUAUUGACGGUAUUUAACCAGAAAGCCACGGCUAACUACGUGCCAGCAGCCGCGGUAAUACGUAGGUGGCAAGCGUUGUCCGGAUUUAUUGGGCGUAAAGCGAGCGCAGGCGGUUUUUUAAGUCUGAUGUGAAAGCCUUCGGCUCAACCGAAGAAGUGCAUCGGAAACUGGGAAACUUGAGUGCAGAAGAGGACAGUGGAACUCCAUGUGUAGCGGUGAAAUGCGUAGAUAUAUGGAAGAACACCAGUGGCGAAGGCGGCUGUCUGGUCUGUAACUGACGCUGAGGCUCGAAAGUAUGGGUAGCAAACAGGAUUAGAUACCCUGGUAGUCCAUACCGUAAACGAUGAAUGCUAAGUGUUGGAGGGUUUCCGCCCUUCAGUGCUGCAGCUAACGCAUUAAGCAUUCCGCCUGGGGAGUACGGCCGCAAGGCUGAAACUCAAAGGAAUUGACGGGGGCCCGCACAAGCGGUGGAGCAUGUGGUUUAAUUCGAAGCUACGCGAAGAACCUUACCAGGUCUUGACAUACUAUGCAAAUCUAAGAGAUUAGACGUUCCCUUCGGGGACAUGGAUACAGGUGGUGCAUGGUUGUCGUCAGCUCGUGUCGUGAGAUGUUGGGUUAAGUCCCGCAACGAGCGCAACCCUUAUUAUCAGUUGCCAGCAUUAAGUUGGGCACUCUGGUGAGACUGCCGGUGACAAACCGGAGGAAGGUGGGGAUGACGUCAAAUCAUCAUGCCCCUUAUGACCUGGGCUACACACGUGCUACAAUGGAUGGUACAACGAGUUGCGAACUCGCGAGAGUAAGCUAAUCUCUUAAAGCCAUUCUCAGUUCGGAUUGUAGGCUGCAACUCGCCUACAUGAAGUCGGAAUCGCUAGUAAUCGCGGAUCAGCAUGCCGCGGUGAAUACGUUCCCGGGCCUUGUACACACCGCCCGUCACACCAUGAGAGUUUGUAACACCCAAAGUCGGUGGGGUAACCUUUUAGGCACCAGCCGCCUAAGGUGGGACAGAUGAUUAGGGUG